Molecule: ribosomal RNA, 253 nt
Filed under: uncultured prokaryote
Description: partial 16S ribosomal RNA
Rfam family: Bacterial small subunit ribosomal RNA
Source: RNAcentral
UACGGAGGGUGCGAGCGUUGUCCGGAAUCACUGGGCGUAAAGGGCGCGUAGGUGGCCGAGCAAGGUCGCGGUGAAAGCCCGGGGCUCAACCCCGGGUCGGCCGUGGCAACUACUUGGCUAGAGCACUGUAGGGGCGGGUGGAAUUCCGGGUGUAGCGGUGGAAUGCGUAGAGAUCCGGAAGAACACCGGUGGCGAAGGCGGCUACCUGGCCCAAUACUGACACUCAGGUGCGACAGCGUGGGGAGCAAACGGG